CAGUCGUCGUCGUAGAACGGGUCGGCCUGCAUCGCCUUCAGCCCGCCGUCGUAGCCGAGGCGGUUGCGGCACAGCACCUCGAACUGGUAGACGAACAGCCCGGCCUUGCUGAUGGCGCCGGCGCGGAACUGCGCCUCGCGCUCCAGCACCAGCAGCGCCAGGUCGGUGCUGAAGCGGCGCGCGUCCUCCUCGCUGCCGGCGACCACGAACGCCUGGUAGGGCGUGAAGUAGUGCCCCAGCCGGGCGAACCCCGACGACAACAGCCCCGUGUGCUUCAGCUCCGUGGCGAGGAACUGGAUCGCCAGGGGCAGCCGCGUCGUCGAGAGGAUCUCCUCGUGGAUGCCGUCGAGGAUAGUCUGGGUGGCCAGGCCCUCCA
This 376-nucleotide unclassified non-coding RNA is filed under the name plant metagenome. RNAcentral's name for it is "partial contains 5.8S ribosomal RNA, internal transcribed spacer 2, and large subunit ribosomal RNA". The record is from RNAcentral.